GUAAAGAAACCCCGGUAAACUCCGUGCCAGCAGCCGCGGUAAUACGGAGGGGGUUAGCGUUGUUCGGAAUUACUGGGCGUAAAGCGCGCGUAGGCGGACUGGAAAGUUGGGGGUGAAAUCCCAGGGCUCAACCCUGGAACUGCCUCCAAAACUAUCAGUCUAGAGUUCGAGAGAGGUGAGUGGAAUUCCGAGUGUAGAGGUGAAAUUCGUAGAUAUUCGGAGGAACACCAGUGGCGAAGGCGGCUCACUGGCUCGAUACUGACGCUGAGGUGCGAAAGUGUGGGGAGCAAACAGGAUUAGAUACCCUGGUAGUCCACACCGUAAACGAUGAAUGCCAGUCGUCGGGUAGCAUGCUAUUCGGUGACACACCUAACGGAUUAAGCAUUCCGCCUGGGGAGUACGGUCGCAAGAUUAAAACUCAAAUGAAUUGACGGGG
This 436-nucleotide ribosomal RNA is filed under the name uncultured bacterium. RNAcentral describes it as "bacterial SSU rRNA". It matches the Rfam family "Bacterial small subunit ribosomal RNA", at positions 482 to 918 of the family's 1533-position model. The record is from RNAcentral.